CUCAUUCUCCACCCCAGUCCAUGUUUCUGUGCUCACGACCAGCUGGGGAGACUGAGGCGCAGCGGCUCAGGGUUCCGUCCAAAGCCCUACAGCCGGGACAGCAAGGCAGUGCAGAGCUUCAGGCCCAGCCUCUUUCCCGUCUCUGAGGCUGCUCUCCCAGGAAGCACCCCUUUCGUCCUCUGGGAAACGCUCCCCAUCCCAGGGCUAGCAGGACACAGAGGACCGGCCCGGGCGGAAGGACGGCACCUGUUGGAGUGCUCCUGGACCACCUGGAACACGCUGACGUGCAGAGUCGUGUUGAGCAAGUGGGUGCUGGGCACCUUAUAAAUCCGGAACUCGGCAGCGGUGACGGCCUCCCUGGCCGGGAUCUGUGUCAGAUCGAAGCGGAACUCCUUCCAGUGGGGCUCCUGGUGGCCCAGGGCAUGGUCACGCUCCACUGGAAGACAAAGCGGGAGAGGCAGUCGAGAGCAGCUGAGACGGCUUGGGCUCUGGAGUGGGAAGCCGGGCAGCCCGAUCAGGGCCAGCUUCCUCUUCUGCAGGCUCUGCCCCAGGUGUACACAGGGCUCCACCAGUCCACCAGAUACACAAAUGCCGUAGGUGACAAUUUCAGUCGAUGCAGGAACUGCAGACACCUGUUAUGUGACUGUGUAAAGAUUCUCAGAUGUGCAAGAUAAAACAGAUCCAGGAUGUUAACUAUGAACAUGAGACAGAAAGAUGGGUCUACAGGCAGCCCCUUCUCCCUACCUUUCAAAGCAUCAUAUGUGCCUGCUUCUGGGUACAGUGCCAUGGACAAGUGCAUCCUGGGGCUUCCUAUUGGAUCUGGAGACUAAAGGAGCAACCCACACAACUGCGGGCUCCAAGGUCUGUGGCUGCCCCUGUGUGGCUUGCACAGGUUAUCUAGAAACAUUCUUGUUCAGCUGAACUGGUCCUACUUCCAAACUUCUCUGUCAUGAGUUUGAGAAAUCAAUAAACUGCCCAGGAAAGUGCCCACUCUGGCUGUUCCAAGAAUGCACUAGAAGUUGGGAAAUCUUUAGGAAAACAGUAAUUUUCAUCUGAAAUUGGUAAAAGUUCCCGUGGUGCAACACUGAAUCAGAUAUUACUGGAAUUGGCCAAAGGGAGUGCCCCUUUCUUUGCUGACCUGGAUAGACCCACAGCUGCUCAGUGUCUGUUCCUUGGGUUGGGAAAGCUGAUGUCGUGGACGAGCCCUUGUUGGGACCUGGAUUUCUCCCCACAGUGCUUCUGGGCAGGUUACUUCUGCUUUAACAACGGGGGCAGCUCCGAGAGGUAUAGCUGAUUUGGCGCACCUGGUGUUCUGAUCUCACCAGCCCUCAGAUGCUUCCCCGCUUCCCUCUGUGAAGUGGAAAGGCUGGGAAAGGGCAGGAACUAUGGGAUGGGAGUGGUGGUCAUUCCUCGGGACGUGGGAGAGGCACUGAUCUCCAUUUUCCUAAUUUAUUCCAGGUGCCAGGCAACACUAUCAGGAGGCCACGCCUGAGAUUUAAAGAGCAACAGGUGGGGGUUGAAGGGUAUUUCAGCUUUCUUUUUCUUUCUCUUUUUAGAGGCAUAUAGGGAUUUAUUAGGCAAAAAUGUAAAAGUACAUAUUCAAAGAAAUAUGUAGGCUCUCCACUCUACUUUAUUUUCCUAAAUCAAAAUAAGAAAUGAAAAACUGUAUCAUGAAAAUGUAUCAGUUCAAUGGAGAGGCACUUGGGUGGUUUCCAGGUGCUUUCC
Fukomys damarensis (Damara mole-rat) is the source of this 1725-nucleotide long non-coding RNA. Lineage: Eukaryota; Metazoa; Chordata; Mammalia; Rodentia; Bathyergidae. The record is from Ensembl.